GCGCCUAGGGGGCAGCAGUGGGGGAUAUUGCACAAUGGGGGGAACCCUGAUGCAGCGACGCCGCGUGGGUGAAGGAGCGUUUCGGCGCGUAAAGCCCUAUCGGCAGGGAAGAAGGAGGACGGUACCUGACUAAGAAGCCCCGGCUAACUACGUGCCAGCAGCCGCGGUAAUACGUAGGGGGCAAGCGUUAUCCGGAUUUACUGGGUGUAAAGGGGGCGCAGACGGCAGCGCAAGCCAGGAGUGAAAGCCCGGGGCCCAACCCCGGGACGGCUCUUGGAACUGCGCGGCUGGCGUGCAGGAGGGGG
Molecule: ribosomal RNA, 305 nt
Filed under: uncultured bacterium
Lineage: Bacteria
Description: partial 16S ribosomal RNA
Rfam family: Bacterial small subunit ribosomal RNA
Source: RNAcentral